UGGCAGACGGGUGAGUAACGCGUGGGAACGUGCCUUUCGGUUCGGAAUAACUCAGGGAAACUUGGGCUAAUACCGGAUACGCCCUUCGGGGGAAAGAUUUAUCGCCGAAAGAUCGGCCCGCGCCAGAUUAGCUUGUUGGUGGGGUAACGGCUCACCAAGGCGACGAUCUGUAGCUGGUCUGAGAGGAUGAUCAGCCACACUGGGACUGAGACACGGCCCAGACUCCUACGGGAGGCAGCAGUGGGGAAUAUUGGACAAUGGGCGCAAGCCUGAUCCAGCCAUGCCGCGUGGGUGAAGAAGGCCCUAGGGUUGUAAACCCCUUUCAGCGGGGAAGAUAAUGACGGUACCCGCAGAAGAAGCUCCGGCUAACUCCGUGCCAGCAGCCGCGGUAAU
Molecule: ribosomal RNA, 393 nt
Filed under: uncultured bacterium
Lineage: Bacteria
Description: bacterial SSU rRNA
Rfam family: Bacterial small subunit ribosomal RNA
Source: RNAcentral